GCCUGUAUAGCACAGUGGUAGUGCGUCUGUCUUGUAAACUGAAGCUUGAUUCCAUAAUGGAGAGAGAUACUGGUG
This 75-nucleotide transfer RNA is filed under the name Basidiobolus meristosporus CBS 931.73. Lineage: Eukaryota; Fungi; Basidiobolomycota; Basidiobolomycetes; Basidiobolales; Basidiobolaceae. The record is from Rfam by way of RNAcentral.